This 114-nucleotide non-coding RNA is filed under the name Streptomyces rubellomurinus. Its description in RNAcentral is "TPP sequence". It matches the Rfam family "TPP riboswitch aptamer (THI element)". From Rfam's summary of the family: Vitamin B(1) in its active form thiamin pyrophosphate (TPP) is an essential coenzyme that is synthesised by coupling of pyrimidine and thiazole moieties in bacteria. The previously detected thiamin-regulatory element, thi box was extended, resulting in a new, highly conserved RNA secondary structure, the THI element, which is widely distributed in eubacteria and also occurs in some archaea. Lineage: Bacteria; Bacillati; Actinomycetota; Actinomycetes; Kitasatosporales; Streptomycetaceae. The record is from Rfam by way of RNAcentral.
GGUGGCACACACGGGAGCCCGGCGAACCGGGCUGAGAGGCGGGCUGGCACGGCCCGCGACCGUCCGAACCUGAUCCGGGUCAUACCGGCGAAGGGAGCAGAGCAGCUUUGUCAC